This is a long non-coding RNA of Capra hircus (goat), 4646 nucleotides long. The record is from Ensembl. NCBI's taxonomy places the organism in Eukaryota, Metazoa, Chordata, Mammalia, Artiodactyla, Bovidae.
UACUGUAUUGGUUUUCUUCUUGACCCAGGAUGUCUGGGAUUCAGCACCAAUUGCUGGAAGCCGGUAAGAUGAAAUUGAUCUGUCGUCCCUAGAGAUGUUGUAAUAAAAAUAACACCAGGUCUGUUCAUUUCAUACUUAAUCCCUCAGCUCCCACUGGCCCCGUAGUGAAAGUCGGGGGCUGAUUAGAGCGCACCAUGUCUCUGCAUCAUGAGCAUGGGAGGAUCUACCCGUUUGGUGGUCCGCACUCUGGACCCUGCUCCUUAGGUCUGUCUAGGAGAACUGCUGUUGGGAAUCACACGACGGACUCCCUUCGCUCUGGUGGAAAGGGUGGCGACACUGUAUGCACGGGCAGGCCUUGAAGUCCCUGUGCGCCCUGCUCACAGUGCCUAGCCAAGGGAAUGCCCUCCCCAGAGCGCUGCCCCUCCUUGGCACGGGCGGCACUCCACUUUGCUGUUGGAUGCACGGUUUGCGAGAGCAAGGCCUUAGUCUGCCUGGUCCCCCGCCACGCUGCCUUGCCUUGGAUAGUGCGUGGUGUGUAGAAGAUGCUCAGUAUAUUUAUGGAGUCAGUGGGUGCAUGACCUCCGCCAAAGGGUGGUAUCCCCUCAGGGAAGGCGUCCACCCGCAGGGCCCGCCGGCCGGCUCCCUGCACGUUGGGAGAACAGCCAGGUGGAGAAGCCCGCCUGUAUUUCUAGGCAGAGGCUCUGGACCCGACUCCAUGGCAACCUGGAAAGGGAGACAGGGAGCCCUGUGCGUCAUGGAGGGUCUGGGAUGCGCAGAGGGAAGAACACAGUCGGCUGCAGCCGCAUCUCCAGCUGAUGAACCACACUGGCCCUGCUCUACAAUCUGCUUGGAAAGACUCUCCAGGGGGCCUGAGAACCGAGUUUCCUUGGUGCAUCUGGUAGGUUCUAAAACUGAACUUGGCUCGUUAAAUCUUCUCUCAAGUGAUGUGGACUGUAUUCUCUCGACAAGGACAUGCUGGAGAAUUUCCUUCAAGGAAAUAUCUUAGAAGAUCCAUGUCACUGGGGGAGUUUAGAGAGAGAAUGAGUCCCCCCAGGAGUUCUAAUGAAUGGAAACUGUCUUUCCCACACCCCUAGCCCUACCCGAGCUUCGGGAGGCAUCACGUGAAUCAUGACAAAGAACUCAGGCCACAGUUUUGGAAUGAAUUACAAGACUGAGAUUUUUCUGCCUUCAUAAGAGACCCAACCUCUCUUCCCUUAUGCCUGCGCUUCCCUCCAGAUACACACUUUAAUAUCAUGGUCCCCAGAGGGACUGUGGGGCUGUGGUCCCAGCUCAUGAAGGCCUUCUGUGGGGAAGGCGGGGUCAUAAUGACGAUAGUACAAACCAAAGUCAUGUUCUGAAUAUCCAAGGAGUCCUAACUCCCAACUACCUCCCUGCUUUCUUCCUAAGAGCACUUAAGAUGCCCAGCUGAAAGACCACUGUAUCCGGCUUCCCUUCACCACCCCCUCUACUAACAUUGAGUCUUCCAGGCUGAUGAGAGUGGGUGGUGCUGAUGUGGCUCUGGAACCAAGAGUAGGUGCACCCACAGCUGAGGGUGUCGGCUGUGAAGUCUGCUUCCAACCUCAGUGCAGCCAGGAGGCAGAACUCAGGACAGGUUACUCUCCGGGCUCCAGAGAUUCCUGUCUGCCAAGCAGUAGAAGUUUCUAGCACAGGUGUGCUGGGCAGAUCCAAUGAUCAGAUGGUGAUGGUGGUGAUGAUAUCUUAUUAUCACUGUGACUUAUUAUCACUAUUAUGGAUAACAAAGCAACUUCAUCUGCAGUCUGAAUGUUUCUGGAAGUCAGAUAAGUGUGUGUCCUCACCUUAAAUUGAGGAAGAUGCUAAAGAGAAACCUAUUGUCUGACCCCGAUCGGUGCAGUCCAGGAAGCAAAUGAAAAGAGUAGUCUGGUUGUUUCAGAAAGGAGUUGGGGCCCCAGGAGCUGUGAGAGAUGCUGGGGCUUGGAAGCUGUGGGCACCCCCCAUGCAAUCGGGUUGAUGCAUCUUUCCCAGCACAUGACGUGCACACACCUGCCACCUGGCCGUCCUUUCUCUUGAAAUGUCCUUUACCCUCUCUGCUGAAUCACACUCCAGGGUUAAAGGAAUAACAAGGGCACCUAGAUGUCAUCAUGCCUAGACAGUGCUUUAUUCAAUCCUCAAAAUAACUCUACAGAGCAGCAAAGUGGGCACUGUUACCUCCGUUUUAUAGAUGAGGAAAAUAAAGGUCAGAGAAGGGGAUUCUUUGCUCAAGGUUGUCCAACCAACCAUCAGUAGACACUGCAGCUUCUUCUCAUGGAGUCCUUGAGACACCUCAGGGUUCCCUGGAUCCCAGUUUGAAAACCACUGCCCUAGCCACUCUCUUGUGGGUCCUUCCAGUGAGCCGUGUGGUUAUUUAUACGACUUUGGUCACCCUUUGUGGUCCUGAGGUGGUGAGAAGUGGAUGGAAUUCAGCAUGCACUGUACCCGGUGGGGCUCACCAGGUGCUUUGACAGCAAGAUGUUUUCUUUCUUAAAUCUGGAAAUGGCUGGUCUCCCCAACAGGCACAUUCUUGCCCACCCACGAAGGCUGAGGCCUAAAAUUCUCCCUAUUAACAAGCCCCUGCAGGCGCUGUGCACAGCAGAGCGGGCAGCCGCUCAGAGCCUGAUGAGCGCUUUCUGCUGGUGCGUCCAGAGGGGCAGCUUGGCUCCGUGUUCACCGUGAGAGCAUCAACAGGAAACGGAGCCGGAGCCCCUGCUGUCCUGGGCGGGACAGGUCCCCACUUCCCUCCAGGUCUGGCUCAGCUUCACCAGUGGAAUCAAAAUGGAAUGCAGGAUAUAAAUAUACUGGCCACGCUAGCAGCUGAGAAGCUCAUGGGUUUGCUUACAUGUGCACAAAAUGAAAUCUCAGCUCACGAGCAGGGGUUCUAUGAUUAUUAAAUGUGCAUUGAUGGUAGGUUUGGCAGCUCUUUGGUCUUAGGCGUGGAGCUAGAAGUUGACUCAGAGUCCCAAGUGGUGGCUCCACGCUUGUCCUCGUCUGUCAGUGGUGUUGCCCGUCUGCUUGGAGGAAGAGGCUCCUCCUGAGGCAGGAGGAUGCAGAGGAGAUAUUGGCCAGGAGCCAGUAGGGGUGGCACUUGAGCUCCCCCUACACCCAAGGGUAGGUGGAGCCAGGCGUUGACCAAACCAGAGACUUCAAAGCAGGGUCGUGGGCGACCUUCCAGGUCGUCCUAAGUCCUGGAGCUCCAGGAGAAGACGGGAAGAUGCACACACAGAAAGCAGCCACACCCAACUUCCUGACUCUCCAAGCCCAAGCUUUGAAAGGGGAGGGAGGUAGAACAGACGGCAUUUAUCUGAACUGAUGUCCCCUGACUCCCCAAGCCUGUGCAUUGAGAGGGCAGGGUGGUGGGACAGAUGGCAUUUAUCUGAACUGCCGUCGUAUCAGGACACCAGUCACCACACCUCCAUGAGCUUGAGAAGCACCUGGGAAGCUGUUUAUAGAGCGUGUGUCUGUCUCCCGACUCUCCAUACAGGCAAGCACCUCCCGCCAAGACUCUGAGUCAUUUGCGCUGAAAAGGGUCGGGAGUCCGUUCACAACACCUGGCCUUUCUGAUGUGACUGUGAGUGAGUCACCGUGUGGGAGACAAGUUCCAGAGUGAUAGUUCUCCGACCCCCAUCCCCCAGGGUCCCUGAGGGAGGUCGUGUUAGAGCCCAGGCUGCCAGACCCUCCCUGCAGCUUCUCAUGUGUGGCUCGUGGCUGGAGCUCCAGAAUCCGCUCCUCUAACAAGUUCCCUGGCAAGGCCUUGCUGCUGCUCCCGGGACUCCACUUUGAGAACUAGUCUUUUCCUGUCCUGGGGAAAACAAAAACCCAGCUUGGUCAUGUCAGUGGUCCAAGGAGAGGAAACCAAGCCUUGCUCAUCUUUUCUUCCCCAGCACAGCAGGCUCACGCUUGGCUAAUUAAAUGCACCUGGAGAUCUUUUAGAAUGUUCCCAUGAUGUUCUUUUUCUUUUUACUGAGAUGCGUUUGAUGUACAAUAUUACAGAGUUUCCGACUGUACGACAUAGUGAUUCACCAUGCUUACGAAUAUACUCCACUCACAGUUAUAAAGCUUGACUGUACUCCCUGCUGUACAGCAUGUCCUUCUAGCUUCUUUAUUUUGUGCGUAGGCAUGUCUGUCUCUUGGUCUGCGCCCCCUAGCUCGCCCCUCUCCUUUACCUCUCCCCGCCUGUGACCACUUGUUUGUUCUCUAUAUCCACGACAUCAUGGCCAUCCAAGUCUGAGAUGGGAAAGAAUUUCCAGACACAGAGCAUUUCAGAGGGGAGUGAGUUUAUUAAGAGCAAGGAGCAGAGAUAAUAAAGGCGCUGCAAGCACAGUGGGCCGACCUCCGGACAAGGAGAGUCAGUGCUUUUUGUGGGUUAGCAGCCAGUUUUUAUAGCCUCAAGACACAGAAAAGUCCUGCUGGAAGGCUCGCAUUAGGUGAUUGGUUAGGGCACUAUAGGGUGAUUACUGGAAUGAGCUUUUUCGCCUAAUUUAGGGUCAAGAAAUCUGCUGGUGACGAUCAAGGGGGCGUUGGCAAUGGUUACAAAGGGGCUCAGUCAGCUUCGGUGGCCUUGGUUCUGGGCUCCACGUCUGUGGCUUGGGGCAGGGCUCCACAUGCGAGUUUGUCUCUUUUUUGUUAUAUUC